Long non-coding RNA from Aedes albopictus (Asian tiger mosquito), 410 nucleotides. RefSeq lists it as uncharacterized. Lineage: Eukaryota; Metazoa; Arthropoda; Insecta; Diptera; Culicidae. The record is from RefSeq and is a predicted model, not a curated record. The transcript is spliced from 2 exons.
GGUUUGUACUGGCAUGCACUCUCUAUGUUUACAUUGAGUGUGUAGAUGGUGCGAAUUGAGUAGUUACGAAUGAGCGUGUAGAGUGACAGUUGCGAUAAAGUGGAGCGUCGGUGGACGACGAACAGCGAACCUGUGGGAAGUCUGGUGAAUCCGAACGAGCGGAGAAAGCUUCUGAACUGGAGAGCUGGAGUUUGCCGUUGCGAGAGUUGCUUCCGGAAGUGGACCCUACAAUUGGCGACGAGGAUGGGAUGGAAGGCCUCGUAUACGAUGGAUUGCUGGCAGGUUGGUUGGUGUUGUGAUGAUGGGAGAAACGGUGCAACAAUUCGGCAGGUGAAGUUAAAAGAGGAAGUGUAAUUAUUUGCACGUAAUUGAUGCCACAGUGUUUUGUAAAUGCAGGUGUUGAUGGAUAA